Molecule: long non-coding RNA, 767 nt
Filed under: Nicotiana tabacum (common tobacco)
Lineage: Eukaryota; Viridiplantae; Streptophyta; Magnoliopsida; Solanales; Solanaceae
Description: long non-coding RNA (NTAB_LNC009274)
Source: RNAcentral
CGAAAUAUUAACCCGUCGUCGUUCAAUCAAGCUCAAGCUCUUCUUUUUGGCAAAUGCCCUUGGCCUUAAAGGGUGUUAUUUCCAACUUGUCGAAAUACAGAACCGUCAACGUUCGAUCAAGGUCAAACUCUUCUUUUUGGCGAAGGCCAUAAGCCUUAAAGGGUAUUAUUUCGAGCAUGUCGAAAUAUUAACCGGUCGUCGUUCGAUCAAGGUUGAACUCUUCUUUUUGGCGAAGGCCCUUGGCCUUAAAGGGUGUUAUUUUGAACUUUUUGAAAUAUUAAGCCGUCGUCGUUUGAUCAAGAUCGAACUGUUCUUUUUGGUGAAGUCCCUUAGCCUUAAAUGGUGUUAUUUCGAGCUUGUCGAAAUACUUAACCGUCAUCGUUCGAUCAAGGUUGAACUCUUCUUUUUGGUGAAGGCCCUUGGCCUUAAAUGGUGUUAUUUUGAAUUUUCGAAAUAUUAACCCGUCGUCGUUCAAUCAAGGUCAAACUCUUCUUUUUAGUAAAUGCCCUUGGCCUUAAAGGGUGUUAUUUUGAACUUGUCAAAAUACAGAACCGUCAACGUUCGAUCAAGGUCAAACUCUUCUUUUUGGCAAAGGCCCUAAGACUUAAAGGGUGUUAUUUCGAGAAUGUCGAAAUAUUAACCGGUCGCCGUUCGAUCAAGGUGGAUCUCUUCUUUUUGGCGAAGGCCCUUGGCCUUAAAGGGUGUUAUUUUGAACUUUUCGAAAUAUUAAACCGUCGUUGUUCGAUCAAUGACGAACUAUUCUUUUU